RNAcentral lists this ribosomal RNA (441 nucleotides) under uncultured bacterium. RNAcentral's name for it is "partial 16S ribosomal RNA". It matches the Rfam family "Bacterial small subunit ribosomal RNA", at positions 338 to 795 of the family's 1533-position model. The record is from RNAcentral.
CCUACGGGAGGCAGCAGUAGGGAAUUUUGCGCAAUGGGGGAAACUCUGACGCAGCAACGCCGCGUGAUCGAUGAAGCCCUUCGGGGCGUAAAGAUCUGUCAGUGGGGACGAAACCUGUCGGUACCCCCAGAGGAAGCACCGGCUAACUCCGUGACAGCAGCCGCGGUAAUACGGGGGGUGCAAGCGUUGUCAGGAAUCAUUGGGCGUAAAGAGUUCGUAGGUGGCACGUUAAGUCUGGUGUUAAAGGCGGAGGCUCAACUUCCGGAGGGCACUGGGUACUGGCGAGCGAGAGUGCGGUAGAGGAAAAGGGAAUUCCUGGUGUAGCGGUGAAAUGCGUAGAUAUCAGGAGGAACAUCAGUGGCGUAGGCGCUUUACUGGGCCGUAAUUGACGCUGAGGAACGAAAGCCGGGGUAGCAAAUGGGAUUAGAUACCCUAGUAGUC